UAACCUGGUUGAUCCUGCCAGUAGUCAUAUGCUUGUCUCAAAGAUUAAGCCAUGCAUGUUCCAGUAUGAGUUUUCAUAUAACGAAACUGCGAAGGGCUCAAUAAAUCGGUUGCUGCAGUUAAAACGCUCGUAGUUGUUGUCCAACUAUAGAUUCCAUUUGCUUAUGCGAAAGGAGUUAGUAGUUUUGCUGAAACAUUGUUUCGGCCAAAACCUUGAGGAAAGAUUAGUGUUCCACGCAGUUAUUCUUGUCCUCCCCAGCAUGGUAUUCAAUGCAAACGAAAGAGAUUGCCGAGUCUCCAUCAAUAUAAAUAGAAAUUCAAGGGGGUAUACGUACUUUAAUAUCAGAGGUGAAAUUCCUAGAUUUUUAAAAGACGAUCAACUGCGAAAGCAUUCACCAAGCGACUUUUCUUUGAUCAAGAACGAAAGUUAGGGGAUUGAAGACGAUCAGAUACCGUCGUAAUCUUAACCGUAAACUAUGCCGACUUGUCGCAGGUAGAUAACUUCUUCGUGUUUAGCGUCGACUUUUGAGAAAUCAAAGUUUUUGGGUUCUGGGGGGAGUAUGAUUGCAAGAUUGAAACUUAAAGGAAUUGACGGAAGGGCACCACCAGGAGUGGAGCUUGCGGCUUAAUUUGACUCAACACGGGAAAUCUCACCAGCCCCACACAUAAAGAGGAUUGACAGUUUGAUAGUUCUUUCUUGAUUCUAUGGUUGGUGGUGCAUGGCCGUUCUUAGUUGGUGGAGUGAUCUGUCUGGUUAAUUCCGUAACGAACGAGAUCUUAACCUACUAAAUAGACAGCCCAAGGGCUUUCUUCUUAGAGGGACAUCUUGAUCGUAUAGAUCAAGGAAGUUUGAGGUAAUAACAGGUCUGUGAUGCCCA
RNAcentral lists this ribosomal RNA (877 nucleotides) under uncultured eukaryote. RNAcentral's name for it is "bacterial SSU rRNA". It matches the Rfam family "Eukaryotic small subunit ribosomal RNA", at positions 1 to 1473 of the family's 1831-position model. The record is from RNAcentral.